CCUACGGGAGGCAGCAGUGAGGAAUAUUGGUCAAUGGGCGUAAGCCUGAACCAGCCAAGUCGCGUGAGGGAUGAAGGUUCUAUGGAUCGUAAACCUCUUUUAUAAGGGAAUAAAGUGUGGGACGUGUCCUGUUUUGUAUGUACCUUAUGAAUAAGGAUCGGCUAACUCCGUGCCAGCAGCGGCGGUAAUACGGAGGAUCCGAGCGUUAUCCGGAUUUAUUGGGUUUAACGGGUGCGUAGGCGGCCUGUUAAGUCAGCGGUGAAAGUCUGUGGCUCAACCAUAGGAUUGCCGUUGAAACUGGGAGGCUUGAGUAUGUUUGAGGCAGGUGGAAUGCGUGGUGUAGCGGUGAAAUGCGUAGAUAUCACGCAGAACCCCGAUUGCGAAGGCAGCCUGCCAAGCCAUGACUGACGCUGAUGCACGAAAGCGUGGGGAUCAAACAGGAUUAGAUACCCGUGUAGUC
RNAcentral lists this ribosomal RNA (460 nucleotides) under uncultured bacterium. Its description in RNAcentral is "partial 16S ribosomal RNA". It matches the Rfam family "Bacterial small subunit ribosomal RNA", at positions 338 to 795 of the family's 1533-position model. The record is from RNAcentral.